Triticum aestivum (bread wheat) is the source of this 129-nucleotide non-coding RNA. The record is from Rfam. NCBI's taxonomy places the organism in Eukaryota, Viridiplantae, Streptophyta, Magnoliopsida, Poales, Poaceae.
AUAUUACUCCCUCCGUCGGAAAUACUUGUCAUCAAAAUGGAUAAAAGAGGAUGUAUCCUAUUUUAGUUCUAGAUACAUCUCUUUUUAUCCAUUUUGACGACAAUUAUUUUCAGACGGAGGGAGUACUUC